RNAcentral lists this long non-coding RNA (242 nucleotides) under Capsicum annuum. Its description in RNAcentral is "long non-coding RNA (CANN_LNC011488)". The record is from RNAcentral. Lineage: Eukaryota; Viridiplantae; Streptophyta; Magnoliopsida; Solanales; Solanaceae.
CUAUUGUCAUUUUUAUUUUCCCAAGGUGUUCUAUCAUGGUAAAAUCAUCACAUGUUAGAGUUUUAAAUUCUAUUUUAGUUGUGUUUGUGUGUUUAUUUAGGAGAUAAAUCGGGGAACUUUUGAUAGUCAAUAAAAGGUCUUGAAAGUUUUGUGAUUUUGUUGUUAUAGCAUAUUCCUACUGUAAAAUUUUUUAGACUAUAUGUUAUGUUUGUUUUGAAGUAUGAUCACUGAGGAUCUUGUUA